Molecule: long non-coding RNA, 286 nt
Organism: Drosophila takahashii
Lineage: Eukaryota; Metazoa; Arthropoda; Insecta; Diptera; Drosophilidae
Source: RefSeq, a predicted model, not a curated record
GUGGAAGCAGCUACGAGGAGAAAUUCCUGUUCAACUAGUCGGUCCAGAAGCGGAAGUUUUGGAAGUGUGGCAGAACAAAAUCGAGAACGCUUUUCAGAUCCAGCUUUCGCAAACCACUUCUCGGACUUAUUAAAAGCAGGAGUAAGGAAGCAACAGGAAAUAAACCUGCUCAAAUUUUUGGAAAGCCACUCUGAAGAGAUACAAUCAACUUUAAUUUGGCUUGCGAUCCAUUCAGUGUUGGUGCCGACAGCAAGAACAAAAAAGGACGGCGGGAGCAAGAACGCAA